Molecule: transfer RNA, 88 nt
Filed under: Deltaproteobacteria bacterium
Lineage: Bacteria; Pseudomonadati; Myxococcota; Myxococcia
Description: tRNA-Ser
Rfam family: tRNA
About the family: Transfer RNA (tRNA) molecules are approximately 80 nucleotides in length. Their secondary structure includes four short double-helical elements and three loops (D, anti-codon, and T loops).
Source: RNAcentral
GGAGAGAUGGCCGAGUGGCUGAAGGCGCAUGAUUGCUAAUCAUGUAUACCUGUAAAGGGUAUCCAGGGUUCGAAUCCCUGUCUCUCCG